AUUGAACGCUGGCGGCAUGCUUUACACAUGCAAGUCGAACGGUAACAGCACUUCGGUGGCUGACGAGUGGCGAACGGGUGAGUAAUACAUCGGAACGUGCCUAGUAGUGGGGGAUAACUACUCGAAAGAGUAGCUAAUACCGCAUGAGAUCUAAGGAUGAAAGCAGGGGACCUUCGGGCCUUGCGCUACUAGAGCGGCUGCUGGCAGAUUAGGUAGUUGGUGGGAUAAAAGCUUACCAAGCCGACGAUCUGUAGCUGGUCUGAGAGGACGACCGGCCACACUGGGACUGAGAAACGGCCCAGACUCCUACGGGAGGCAGCAGUGGGGAAUUUUGGACAAUGGGCGCAAGCCUGAUCCAGCAAUGCCGCGUGCAGGAUGAAGGCCUUCGGGUUGUAAACUGCUUUUGUACGGAACGAAAAGCCCUCUUCUAAUACAGGAGGGUCAUGACGGUACCGUAAGAAUAAGCACCGGCUAACUACGU
This 481-nucleotide ribosomal RNA is filed under the name uncultured bacterium. RNAcentral describes it as "partial 16S ribosomal RNA". It matches the Rfam family "Bacterial small subunit ribosomal RNA", at positions 30 to 506 of the family's 1533-position model. The record is from RNAcentral.